RNAcentral lists this ribosomal RNA (447 nucleotides) under uncultured bacterium. RNAcentral describes it as "bacterial SSU rRNA". It matches the Rfam family "Bacterial small subunit ribosomal RNA", at positions 28 to 490 of the family's 1533-position model. The record is from RNAcentral.
GACGAACGCUGGCGGCGUGCUUAACACAUGCAAGUCGAGCGGAAAGGCCUACUUCGGUGGUACUCGAGCGGCGAACGGGUGAGUAACACGUGAGUAAUCUGCCCCUGGCUUCGGGAUAGCCACCGGAAACGGUGAUUAAUACCGGAUAUGACACUGGACUGCAUGGUUUGGUGUGGAAAGUUUUUCGGCCAGGGAUGUGCUCGCGGCCUAUCAGCUUGAUGGUGAGGUAAUGGCUCACCAUGGCUUCGACGGGUAGCCGGCCUGAGAGGGUGACCGGUCACACUGGGACUGAGACACGGCCCAGACUCCUACGGGAGGCAGCAGUGGGGAAUAUUGGACAAUGGGCGGAAGCCUGAUCCAGCAACGCCGCGUGAGGGAUGACGGCCUUCGGGUUGUAAACCUCUUUCAGUACCGACGAAGCGCAAGUGACGGUAGGUACAGAAGAAG